AAAGUGUAUACACUGAAGAUAAAAGGUGCAGGUGGUUGUGUUCUACAUGACCAAUAUGACAAAGAACUUUGUACCAAACUCUAAAAAUCAUGCUAUUUUUAUUUAUAUUUUUUAAUUCUUUGCCAAUUUAUUUCAUCCUGAAUAAUUAUUUCUAAUUAAAUAUUUUCAAUCAAUGGCACCUCUGUGGAUAUAAAUUGCCCAUAUUGCCUCAAGUCGAAUGGUUCGAUAAAUGUCCUCCCGGUAGAACCUUCCCUCAGGGCCAUGGCCACUCCGGGUGUGGCCAAUCCAGUCAAAAUGGCGAUUUUCACUACCAGUAUCAAAAACCAUGCAUUUUGAUACCCAUAUUGCCCCAAGUCGUAUGGUUCGGUUAAUGUCCCCCCGGUGGAACCUUCUCCAGGGCACUGGCUACUCCGGGUGUGACCAAUCCUGUCAAAAUGGCCAUUUUCACUACCAGUAUCAAAAACCAUGAAUUUUGAUACCCAUAUUGCCCCAAGUCGAAUGGUUUGAUAAAUGUCCCCCCGGUAGAACCUUCUCCAGGGCACUGGCCACUCCGGGUGUGGCCAAUCCUGUCAAAAUGGCCAUUUUCACUACCAGUAUCAAAAACCAUGAAUUUUGAUACCCAUAUUGCCCCAAGUCGAAUGGAUCGAUAAAUGUCCCCCCGGUAGAACCUUCCCUCAGGGCCAUGGCCACCAACUUUCAUGAAAUUUUCUACUCUACAACUUUGCUUAAGACACCAAAGCCCUACAACGUCAACCAACAGAGUUAGUUUUUGGUUGACACCCUGGAAGAUCGUCACCCUAUAUGUCAAUAACUUCACAGACAACAGACGUAGCGGCUAGAACAAAAUAAUUUGAAAAUCGUGUGUAAAAACAUGGCUGCCGCAUCCUGCUAAUCUACUAGCGCCAUCUGUUAGCCUAUUGCCACUCUCUAAAGCAGCCAUGAUGGUUUUCUGAGAAGGUGUGUUUGAAAAUGCAUCACCCAGAAAUGUUUUAAAAAUAUAUUAUUUCAAUUUUUCGAAAUAAAAAUUAAAAAGGUAAAGAUUAUGUUUUUAUGCUAUAGUAAAUCUACUUUAAUUAUUAAUUAACACGAUUCACGAGCACAUGGAAGUUUUUUUUUCAUUUAAUUAUCGAUAUUAAAAAAAUUGUCUAGUCUGAUGCUUUUUUAAACACAGCAACCAAGGCCGCGCUUGAGGCUGUCAAAUUCUUGCUGGUUGUGUUUAUAAACAAAACCAACAGAGGUGAGCGAAAAGGAGGGAAGACCCGGUGGAAAUCGGGAGGAUGGGCAAGCGUUUCUUGGAGGAUAAAAGAUCCGUAACCAGAAACGAAACAAUCCGGAACUGUCGAAGAAGGAAAAACAGCAAGGUAUGACACGGUAAAGUCUGGAUGUCAUCGGCGCCGUCAGCAAGAGCUAUGAUCACGGCCAACCCCGUAAACGUUUUGGCCCCAAACGACCGCAUUCCGAAGAUUAUCUCCGGAACCGACAAACCAACUACCACGAUCAUUUCAACGCUCACCUUCAAGACAUCUUCAACGCCCUCGAAACCCACCCCACCUUCAAGUGCCGCCACUUCCGGCGAACCCUCGUCGCCAUACCAAAGGCCUGAAUCUUGAAUGUUCUCCCCGGCAUGUCAGAUUCCCCCACCGGAUUUCUAGUGCAAGCGAUCCUCAAACACCAGAACCAGAACAAACGAUUACAAACGUUGAAAACCAACAAAAUGUAAAAUGACAGUAGGCGGAAAGUGAUAUUUUGACAGCGGGCAAUGUGUCAGGGCAAAGCGACUGCAGCGCCACAAACGGAUUGCCACAACUAAAAAAUCUGUAGCGAUGAUUUACACAAGGGAAGAAUCGAGCCCAAACGUCUGUUGUCUGUGAUAACUUUAAAAGAUAGUCUUUAUCAAGUACAACAACUCUUCCGAAGAUACCAUUUGGCUAGGACGUCAAAUAAAGGAGUAAUCAAUUUAUUCCAUUGCCCUGGGGAAGGUUCUACCGGGGACAUUUAUCGAACCAUACGACUUGGGACAGUACCAAAAACCAUGAAUUUGGAUACCCAUAUCGCCCUCCCGGGAAAACCUUCCCGUAAUUUUUACUACCAGUAUCGAAAACCAUGAAUUUUGAUACCCAUAUUGCCCCAAGUCGUAUGGUUCGAUAAAUGUACCACAGAGUAAUCCAGAGGGAACACUGCCAUUUAAUUUAUAUGGUUGCGUUACGCGGUACAUCCCAGUCACGACGUUCUAGCAGGAUUCUAGCAGAGUUCUUACAAGGCUGGAUAUUCUUAGAGCAUUCUAGCAGAAAUGUUCCAUCGUUCUAGCAGGAUUCUGACAGAACCAGCUCUGCUAGAAUAUUUCGUGACUGGGAUCAUGGUACAUCCCCCCUUCAGAAAAACCCUUGCAUGAAGUGCAAAAUCUCAGCAAUCUUACACGGAGAGACCGGCCGGGGCAAAUAUAAGAAAAUCUUGGUAAAUUUAACAAAAAGUAUGGGUUAAUUUUUUACACAGCUUUUUUUCAACAAUCGAUUGUUGAUUUUGUUAACCCGAAAUUGCUGACCACCGGUAAUUAAAAUUAACUAAAAAAAAUACUUGGAAUUGCCAUUUUAGUUGGUUAAAUGGCCGAAAAAAAUUCUAGCAGUCGACUGCUAGAAUAUUUUUUUCAGAAAAUUAACUAAAAAUUUCUUGUUUUCAGCUGAAAUAUUGUGGAAUAUUCUGUUAAAAACUGGCUGGUAAAUGUUUUUCAACUAUUUUUCAACAUUUUUUUUCGUUGUAUCAACCGAAUUUUAUUUGCAUGCAGCAAGUUAUUAGUGUUUUAUAACAAAACAUUACUUAAUUAGACAUAAUUUAUGUAAGUGUUGAUAUAUUAUGAAUACAAAGAGACGAGUUGUUCCUUUUAAUUCCGCUAUAUAUUUUUAAUAUCUUGACAGAUACGUAUUUCGUCUACUACUUGCAGACUUCAUCAGUGUUCUGACUCGACAGUCGAGAACAGAACACUGAUGAAGUCUGCAAGUAUACACGGAGAGACCGUGCCCAGAAAUUUUAACAAUUAAAAUUGUUGAUUUUACUUUCGUUAAUUUUAACAAAAACGUACUUGUUACUGCCAAUAUUCCGUUAGAAUAACUAAAAUUUAGUAUUAAUUUAAUAACCUGUUUGUUGAAAAUGCUAGAGGCAAAAAGCUAACAGAUUUCCCGAACUCGAAUGAACGUGCUCGACUGUUAGCUUUGGUUUUAGGAAAAUAAAAAAAAUUGUUGAUUGAAUAUAAUUUACAUUUGGUUGAAUUUUUAAAAGAUGAACUUGGGUUUGUUUACGUCUGUCAUUUGAAGUCAGGAUUCGAACGAGAGCGGUCGAUUUGUUGAGUUUGUGUUGUUAAUUAUGAAGUGAGAGGAUGUGAAAGGUGAAACUUACACUAUUUAGCUAAUGUUGAAGUGGCACAUCAAAGUGUUGCAACUGGGGAGGUGGAAUUGGUGAGUAGGUUUGUUGAUGAUUUCUUUGCAGGUGAUAAACUAUGAAGAGCAAGAGGACGAUUUGCCAUGAGGACCUCCAAUGCGAGUGAGUUGAACAUGUUAGAAGAAUGUUUGAUGGAACGAGAGGGCAAUAGAAAGGAAAUGCGGGCCGACUCUUCACGGAUAGAGCAAAAAAAAAAAAAGCAAAGUAAUCCACUUUAACGACCCCCGGGUCUUUUGUGGUCUCUGUUGCAAGUUUCUGCUCAUUUCUAGGCGUCCGAAGGUUAUGUGUGGUGAGUCACUCAAAACCUCUUUUACGCAAAUGGACCGACGUUUUACUUCCCCAUCCGAUAGAAGGCGUGGUCAGGCAAAUCUCGUCUCGAAAAAUGCCACCGGGUCCGUCUGGGAUUGAACCCAGGCCAUACUGGGAUUCAGAGGCUACCACGCUAACCACUAAACCACCGGACCCGGUGGAUAGAGCAGCCCGUUAUGUUGCUUACACAUGGCAUUUUUAACAAAAUGUUGGAUAAUCCAAGUAAGUAUGGGUUUAUUUUUGCACAAUAAUUUAUCUAAUGUGAUUCUUAUUAGAAAACUGAAUCAUUAAAAAGCUUCGUGCUUACGACGGAUAAAAUCUUAAUGAACCAUUUUUUUCCAGAAUCAUCAAUUAUAAAAAACAUAGAAAUGCCAUGUGUAAGCAACAUAAACAACAUAAAAAAUAGAGAUGAAGUAAAAUAUAAAAAAAAUAAAAAUAUAUAAAAUAUAUAAAAGAAGAUAAUUAUUAUCUUGAAAGUUUUGUUGCAAUACGACUGCUCAAUAAACUGGUAAGUAAAACUCAAAAUAUUUUUUUCAGGAAUCGAAGUACGUUAAAUAAAUUGAAUCAAAUGCAAUGAAAGUUUGUUGCCAAAAGUAAUUGUUAAAUUCAGGGCCCCGGCGAUGGCCUGAAAAAAGCUACCGAACAACAUUGGCAAUAUGGCGGCGUUUGUUUAUAAACAUUGCGAAGUGUAAACACGAUUUUUUUCUUGAUUCAAAAGUAAUAAUAGUUUUAGUUGCUGCUGCUAAAUGUAAAAUGCGUUGUAUUUAUGUGGAAUUUUCGCAGAAUCACAAGAUACUGCCGGUGAUUGCGACUGCAGCAAGUCUUCUACUAGCAGGUAUGUUCUUUUGGUCGAUUGUUGAGUAUAUUAUGAGUACAUUGAAAAUAAAUCUUUGUAGCGCUGGUUUGCAGCAAAAAGUACCUGCUGGACGCGACAGAUCUCUGAUGCGGGAGCUGGAGAAUGUUCCUAAAAGCGAACGAGCCUGUGCAGUGCUGCGUCCACCGGACAAGGAAUGGUUUCGCUGGAGGAUUUGGAGCACGUUCUGGGCAAGUUGCCGCUGCGGAAGCUGGAGAAUGAGACAAACAGUGAACGGGCCGGGUCAAGAACGCCCCUGUUCGGUGCUGCUUCCAUCGGCCGAAGCAACGUUCCACUUGAAGAGCAGGAGAAUGAGACAAGAACGCCCUUGCACAGAGCUGCGCCCUCCGAACGAGGCAACGUUCCGCUGAAAGAGUUGAAUCACGUUCCGGGGAUGUUCCGUUGCGGAAGCUGGAGAAGUUGCAACACAAGAAUGUACUUAUUUCAAGAAAAUUAAAACUGUAAAAGAUAAUAGUUUGUCUACGUUUUUUUUCAAACAUUCGCUCCGAAUAUACGUAUUUCGAACAACAAGAAAUCAUUGCAAAGCUACAUAGUUUUGAAGCGAAUCCGACUACAACUCCCGCUUCUGGAGAUUUACGACUCCAGCACUCCAAAAAGAUCCGACUUAGAAACCUACUCUGACUCCAACAACAGCGUCCAUACAAAAUUGACAAAAAGUAAGCCUACUAUGGCUCCGACUGCAGAUAAUUUAGCGAUUUUGACUCCAGCUUCUCAGAAUUCAUCGAUUCCAACUCCAACGCACCAAAAAGACCCGAUUCCACCGGUUCCAACCCCUUAGCACUGAUAUAUUUAUUUUAGGCAAUAAAAUACAAAAUAAGUUUUCCAAAAAGUGUAUUAAAUGAUGAAUGCCUCCCAAAUUCAGACAAAACAAAAUUUAAUUAUUGAAUUUAUACUGGUAUAACGCUACCAAACUAUAAUAGCAAUUUAUUAUAAUGUUAAAUUCGAAUAAAAACACUUUUUAAAAGUAAUUUCCAUAAAAAGGCACAAGUUGACAAAUUAGCAAAUUACCCCGAAUCAGUAUUUAUGAUGUGCGAUAUUAGGGUAAUUCAUCCGUUCCAGACUGUCAAAAUUCCAAAACGUCAACGCGUCCACCGCCAUUCUUCGGUACGCAGCUUUUGUUCCUGUAUGACGUUUCGAGGCGAGGCCCUGGUUAAAUUAAUGCGAAAAAAUUGCUAGAGACAUUCGACUGUGGUGAAAUGUUUUUACUGUGGGAUUGUGAAAUAUGACCAGCCAGACUUGCCUCAACUGCAUCCAGAUUCCAUAAUUUGGACCAACAGAUGCAUCAGAGGAGCAGCAGUUGCAGCGGCACCAGACCGCAGCGCCACCGAGGAGCAGGUUGACAUCGAAGAUACUUGUAUAUGUGUGGCGUUCGCAGUCGCUCUGCAAGUUCUUGCUUGUGUUGGUGCUGACGUGGAAGAGCUUUAUUUCUGGUGAGUACGUUCCAGCUAAUGCGCGUGUGUGCGUGUACUGAAAUGUGAGUAAAUUUCAACUUGUUUUUAACCCUCCAACGCCCAUGGUUGCUCUUAUUGACCAACAUAUAACAUCUGAAUAACUUUGAAAUUAUUCAACAUUACUAUUGUUUUUUUUGCAAGGGUCCUUAAAGCUCUGGGUUUCCUAAUAUUUCUGGGGCAUUUUCAAAUUAAUCUCUAGAUUAUGUUGUUAAUUUUAUAAUAAGUGGCUAACGUUGAAAAUCUCGAUUAUGCUCUGUGUGUUGCAUCUCGUAAAAUAACAUGUGUAAUUUUGUUUUGAUAAAAUCCACUCAUAUUUUAUUUAUCCACAGAAAGCGAGUUGUGGCGCUAUAACCAUGGCAAAAGUGUCCAGGGCAUUGUGGAAAUACAAUGUCCCAUCCCCGAGGGUCCCGGAGCACCAAAACUUCUUAGCAUGGUGCUCCCAACGAUUAAUUGCUAUAACUAAUAGGAACGUGAGCGGGGGAUCCCCACGUUUCUUCCUCCCCUGUAGAUUCAGAAAUGCAUUGCUGUUUGAACACUCGUGCUCAAACUCAAUCCAAUUCAACGAAUCAUCUUUGCGGUUAACUUUACGCAGUUGGUCUGGCCGCUUCGACGUUUGUGAUGUUUCAAUGCAUGUUAAUGCAAUGGCGCAUUGCAAAUGUUGAUAAUGACAAGAAGAUGCUAGGCGUCAAUCAACCUAAGGCAUUCUCCAGGAUGCCCUCGAAAGACUGGCUGCGCUAGGGUUAGAUUAGAUUAGAUUAGAUUAAAAGUAAUUGUUAAAUUAAUGCAACUUUGGUAAGUAGCAUUAUUGAUAUUUCUUCUUUCCUCAAUAUAAUUUCAUUUAUUUACGUUCCUUUUUUCAGUUUAUAGCCGAAAUUAAGAAUUUUGUAUUAAAUUACUAAUACAUUUCACAUGUCUAUUUGCAGCAAAAGGUUCACUUUAGUGAAAAUUCUGUUUCCAACCACAAGAAAAAUAACUAAACCUGAGAACAUUGUAGAUGACUUAUCGGAUGAUUUCACAGUGAUGGUAAGUGGAUACAACACUUAAUUUUAUACAACAUAAUAAAAAUAUAAGCUUAAAACUUGGUGAAAAUUUUGCUCGAUUUCUAUUUUUCAGGAAUUCAUGUCAAAUUAAACAUCUUUUUUAAAUAUGUUUAACAAAAUUUGUAAUAUGCUUUUUCAUUAUUUUUAGUUUAAUACAACGUAAUUUUUUAAAACAUUAAUCAAACUUUACAUGUUUUAUAACAACAGUUAAAAAAAAGUUUUGUUUUGAUGCUUUUAACAGUAACUUAACAAGUUCAUGCAAAAAAAAAACAAAUUAGUACAAAACGUUAAAUUUUUAGGCAGAAUAAAUGCGAAAAUAAAAACACUCAGCAUUGAUUUGUGAGGCAUUAUUACAAAAUUUACUGCAAAUUCAAUAAAAAUAUCGCUAACAACUGCUAGUUAUUGACUACAUGUACGAAUAUUUUUCUGAAUUCAAGUAAGACAAUAGUUAAAAUAUAGCUAGAAAUUCGGCCCAGCCUAUCCCAGUCACGAAAUAUUCUAGCAGAGCUGGUUCUGUCAGAAUCCUGCUAGAACGGUCGAACAUUUCUGCUAGAAUGCUCUAAGAAUAUCCAGCUCUCUAAGAAUUCUGCUAGAAUCCUGCUAGAACGUCGUGACUGGGAUAUCGUUAGAUAAUUAAAGAAAAUAUAUAUCAACAUUGUGGUUUGGUUGAGCGUUUUAGCAGAAUGCAUUACUACACUGAAGAUAAAAAUUACGACCAAAAUGUGUCGAUCCGACACACUGUAUGUGUAAACCGGGUUGUUUUUAAAUCGAUGUGUGGCUUUUACACAUCGCGAUGGUUUUUGAUCGAAAAUCCAUCCAAUGUGUAAAUUCCUUUUCGCCUGCUUCGCCAAAGUUGCCGGUGGGUGUCGCCACAAGUCUUGGACUUUGACGUGUAGCGAAGAGUGAAAAAAAACACGUUGGUUUUUACUGUUUGCAUUUUUGGUAAGUUUAUUUGCAUUUUACAAGCUUUUCUUUGGCUGUUUGAGCUGAAAAAUUAAUCAAUUGUUUACCCUCAGCCUCGUCAUGAUUCUUCCGGCCAAGACAGCGUGACCUCCACCGAGUCGGUGCCCAUCACCUGCCCAUUUUUCCUCCAGCUCGACGUCACCAGCCGGACAUGAAUUCGACUGAAUAGUCCGUUCGCCGCGGAAUCUGGACCGCGUUGCUUAGGGUUGUUCAACAGGAGCGCCCUUACCCGGGAAGCCGACCUGCUUUGGAUGUUGGACGGUACGGCUACGAACCAGAUCUGUAAGGCCGGCAGUUGCGGGUUGCGUUUCCAUACCCGCUCACUUCCGGCGUUUUGAAGGAGGAACUGCUUGAAGAGAUGUUUGCGAUCAGCUGAGCAAAAUUUGAUAUUUAAUAUCAAGAAGAUCCCAGCUUGGUCAGAAUCUGCCGCUGGGCUAAAUCUGUUCGCUGCUGAUAACAAUCAAACUGCUUACAAGCAGCGCAAUCCGGAUAAACAAUCCCACCAUGUCCGGGUGCUCCUUCUUUUUGGCCACUAGACCACAUUUUUUUCAGGAUGUUAGGAACUCCUUGUUCCAACAGUGGACUUUUCCAGUGUCCAGUUUGAAUGCAGCUACUUCCCCUAUAGACGCAGGUUCUCCGGUCCUGUUAAAGAGCAAACUGGGCGUGAAAAACAGUUGAGGCAAACCUCCUCUUCCGUUUGUCUCUCAUCAUCGUAGCAGCAGGAAAAAAUCAAGCUCCCAGCUUUGAGCUCCGCCAAAAUGUCUGGCCACAAUCCACCCCACGGGGGGCUCGGUCAGGUGAACUCGACCUGGAAUCCGCGGCAAGUGCCUUCGUAAAUUCUGCGACAGCCCCAGUUGGCGCACAAGUCGAGCGAGCGGUAAAUGGUGCGGUCACCGCUCACGUGGCACACUCCGCCCAACCACCAGGACCAGCUGUACAUCAUCCGCAAUCCACAAGAAGAUUCUUGAAAUCAACCCAAUACUGCCAACGUUUGGUCAUAAUUCCGACAUGCUGGGUUGGUUCGAUCAAUCCCUGUCGUCGGCCGCACGGAAUACGACAGAUCUGCCGUAAAACAUUCCUCCAGUCAUGAGCCGCGGCGGUGGUCCUCCAGCGAUGCCCGACCAGAACGAUCAUUCCACCAAAAAAAAAAAAUGCCGGUCAGCAGUUCUACCAACAACACGGUCAACUCCAGCAACAUUAACACAUCAAUGCGAACCAAAAUCGGUCGGGACCGUCGAGUCAAAUCAGGCGUUAACCAAUCAACCGCAGCUCAUAAAGACCGUUCCGGAUAUGGUCCCCACAACAAGGACGGUGCCGGCUCAGCUCCGUCGUGUAGCUGCAACUAAAUCGGCGCUUCAAACCGAAAGCCGCAAGUAUUAACAACCCAGCACCAGGGGUACAGCGGCCGGAGGAUUGCACAACUUGUCGCCGAAAGGACCGAUCGGAGAGGGUGACGACAUUAGCGGGCUGCACAUCAAGGAUCGCGUCAACUUGUCGCCCACCAAAACCUCCAGUGCGCCUUCAAGAACAUCACAUCUAAUGUAGAAUCCGCUGGCCAUGGACAAGCUUUUCCGAGUUUCCCUGUUUGGGCAACGUCCCGCGGACACGACGGAUGCAGAACAGCGCGAGAUGAACAUCUUUUGGCGAACCACGCUGACGGGUUGCGAGAUCGUGAUCGAGAAGUGAUUCUGCAAAAGGCCGCUGAAGAAAGACGCUAUCCAACUGAAUGCGGCCAAGUUCCUCGGAACGCUCGCAGCCAUCGGGGACAAAACAACAAGCGACCAGUCACAGACCAGUUGAUGGACCACUACAUUUACUUUUGAAGAUUAACAACGAUUAUGAAUUUAAGUGUAGUUGGAACAGUAGAAGAUUUAUUGUAUAUUACGUAAUGUUGUGAAAUAAAAAAAAUCUGUAUUUUUUAAUUUGAAAGUAAUCAAUAAAAAUAAAGAACUUUUUCUAUUCACUAACAGAUGGCAGCACAGUAUUCCCGCUAUUCGAUAGCUUCCCAUUUUUGCCACCAGGGGGCUUCUGCCGAAUCAAAAUUUACACAUUGGAUGCGUUUCUGCCCAGAAUCCAGCCAAUGUGUUCCGGGCUGUUUACACGGCACGGUGGUCCAAGCGUGGUCUUGUGCGAAAAUGGUUGGAUUCAACGCUUUUUGGUGUAAUUCUGAUCUUCAGUGUAU
Molecule: long non-coding RNA, 10251 nt
Organism: Culex pipiens pallens (northern house mosquito)
Lineage: Eukaryota; Metazoa; Arthropoda; Insecta; Diptera; Culicidae
Exons: 5
Source: RefSeq, a predicted model, not a curated record